GACCUUACCUCCCUCACUACCUUAAACAUUCAGGGAAUUUCAGGCCUUAUAAGUUUAGAUGAGGUGCUUAUACAGGCCUUGGUAUCACUUAAACAUCUGAAGAUUGCAUGUUGUGAGGAACUGAGAUGCUUGUGGAGAAAUGGAACUAAUUUAAACAAACUGGCUUCUCUGAAGAGUUUAGAAAUUUCUGGAUGCCCACAGCUAGUAUCAUUGGUAGGGGGAGAGGAUGGACUUUUACCUUCCAAUCUUGAAACUUUGCAGAUAGGAACUUGUGAUAACCUGGAGCAGCUGCCACAUGGUCUGGGCAGCCUCACAUCUCUGAAG
This 324-nucleotide unclassified non-coding RNA is filed under the name Hevea brasiliensis (rubber tree). The record is from RNAcentral. Lineage: Eukaryota; Viridiplantae; Streptophyta; Magnoliopsida; Malpighiales; Euphorbiaceae.